UGAAGCCAAGCUUGCUUGGUGGAUCAGUGGCGAACGGGUGAGUAACACGUGAGCAACCUGCCCUGGACUCUGGGAUAAGCGCUGGAAACGGUGUCUAAUACUGGAUAUGAGCCUCUAUCGCAUGGUGGGGGUUGGAAAGAUUUUUCGGUCUGGGAUGGGCUCGCGGCCUAUCAGCUUGUUGGUGAGGUAAUGGCUCACCAAGGCGUCGACGGGUAGCCGGCCUGAGAGGGUGACCGGCCACACUGGGACUGAGACACGGCCCAGACUCCUACGGGAGGCAGCAGUGGGGAAUAUUGCACAAUGGGCGGAAGCCUGAUGCAGCAACGCCGCGUGAGGGAUGACGGCCUUCGGGUUGUAAACCUCUUUUAGCAGGGAAGAAGCGAAAGUGACGGUACCUGCAGAAAAAGCGCCGGCUAACUACGUGCCAGCAGCCGCGGUAAUACGUAGGGCGCAAGCGUUAUCCGGAAUUAUUGGGCGUAAAGAGCUCGUAGGCGGUUUGUCGCGUCUGCUGUGAAAUCCCGAGGCUCAACCUCGGGUCUGCAGUGGGUACGGGCAGACUAGAGUGCGGUAGGGGAGAUUGGAAUUCCUGGUGUAGCGGUGGAAUGCGCAGAUAUCAGGAGGAACACCGAUGGCGAAGGCAGAUCUCUGGGCCGUAACUGACGCUGAGGAGCGAAAGGGUGGGGAGCAAACAGGCUUAGAUACCCUGGUAGUCCACCCCGUAAACGUUGGGAACUAGUUGUGGGGACCAU
This 749-nucleotide ribosomal RNA is filed under the name Microbacterium aurantiacum. Its description in RNAcentral is "partial 16S ribosomal RNA". It matches the Rfam family "Bacterial small subunit ribosomal RNA", at positions 70 to 832 of the family's 1533-position model. Lineage: Bacteria; Bacillati; Actinomycetota; Actinomycetes; Micrococcales; Microbacteriaceae. The record is from RNAcentral.